GGGUUGGUACUUACUGGAGGACCUUUUGGUAAAAUAAUGGAGGGAACCGAGAUUCCCCCAGUAGCGGCGAGCGGACGGGGAGCAGCCCAGAGUCAGCAUCAAUAUUUACCGCAGGAGAAGGGUCUGGAAAGGCCGGCAAUAAAGGGUGAUAGCCCCGUAUCUGAAGCGGUAAGUGUUGUGAACUCGAAGAGUAGGGCGGGACACGUGUUAUCCUGUCUGAAUAUGGGGGGACCAUCCUCCAAGGCUAAAUACUCCUGACUGACCGAUAGUGAACCAGUACCGUGAGGGAAAGGCGAAAAGAACCCCGGCAAGGGGAGUGAAAUAAAACCUGAAACCGUGUACGUACAAGCAGUGGGAGCACCCGAAAGGUUGUGACUGCGUACCUUUUGUAUAAGGGGUCAGCGACUUAUAUUCUGUAGCAAGGUUAACCGCUUAGGGAAGACGUAGGGAAACCGAGUCUUAACUGGCCGUUAAGUUGUAGGGUAUAGACCCGAAACCCGGUGAUCUAGCCAUGGGCAGGUGGAAGGUGGGGUAACACUAAUUGGAGAACAAGGUUGGUGAACUUAGUUGGAGGAUAGUGGGGGGCCCCCCCCGGGGGGCACCCCGCGGGGGACAUCCUAUUGUGGGGGACCCCCGUGUGUGCUCCUCUUGAUAUCCCCCCCCCCCGGGUCCCCCAGAGGGACCACCCCCGCUGCGGCU
Molecule: ribosomal RNA, 699 nt
Filed under: Arsenophonus endosymbiont of Trialeurodes vaporariorum
Lineage: Bacteria; Pseudomonadati; Pseudomonadota; Gammaproteobacteria; Enterobacterales; Morganellaceae
Description: partial 23S ribosomal RNA
Rfam family: Bacterial large subunit ribosomal RNA
Source: RNAcentral